RNAcentral lists this ribosomal RNA (265 nucleotides) under uncultured prokaryote. RNAcentral describes it as "partial 16S ribosomal RNA". It matches the Rfam family "Bacterial small subunit ribosomal RNA", at positions 524 to 788 of the family's 1533-position model. The record is from RNAcentral.
UACGGAGGAUCCGAGCGUUAUCCGGAUUUAUUGGGUUUAAAGGGUGCGCAGGCGGGAGAUUAAGUCGGCGGUGAAAUUUUGCAGCUCAACUGUAAAAGUGCCUUCGAAACUGGUUUCCUUGAGUGUAGAUGAAGUAGGCGGAAUUUGUGGUGUAGCGGUGAAAUGCAUAGAUAUCACGAGGAACUCCGAUUGCGCAGGCAGCUUACUAAACUACUACUGACGCUCAGGCACGAAGGCGUGGGGAUCAGACAGGAUUAGAUACCCU